RNAcentral lists this ribosomal RNA (374 nucleotides) under uncultured bacterium. RNAcentral's name for it is "bacterial SSU rRNA". It matches the Rfam family "Bacterial small subunit ribosomal RNA", at positions 28 to 404 of the family's 1533-position model. The record is from RNAcentral.
AACGAACGCUGGCGGCGUGCUUAACACAUGCAAGUCGAGCGGUAAGGCCCUUUCGGGGGUACACGAGCGGCGAACGGGUGAGUAACACGUGGGUGACCUGCCCUCAGCUCUGGGAUAAGCCUGGGAAACCGGGUCUAAUACUGGACAUGACUCCAUGACGCAUGUUGUGGGGUGGAAAGCCUUGUGCGGCUGAGGAUGGGCCCGCGGCCUAUCAGCUUGUUGGUGGGGGAUGGCCUACCAAGGCGACGACGGGUAGCCGGCCUGAGAGGGCGACCGGCCACACUGGGACUGAGACACGGCCCAGACUCCUACGGGAGGCAGCAGUGGGGAAUCUUGCGCAAUGGGCGAAAGCCUGACGCAGCGACGCCGCGUGA